This 132-nucleotide small RNA is filed under the name Escherichia coli. RNAcentral describes it as "RtT sRNA". It matches the Rfam family "RtT RNA". Rfam says of the family: This family represents a bacterial cis-regulatory element known as RtT RNA. The exact function of RtT is unknown although it is thought that it may be involved in changing the cellular response in relation to amino acid starvation. The record is from RNAcentral. Lineage: Bacteria; Pseudomonadati; Pseudomonadota; Gammaproteobacteria; Enterobacterales; Enterobacteriaceae.
AUUCUGCCCAUGCGGGGAAGGAUGAGAAGCUUCGACUAAGGUUCGGCUCGAGCGUCAGCGAGAGAGCGUUGCCGCAGGCAACGACCCGAAGGGCGAAGCGCGCAGCGCUGAGUAAUCCUUCCCCUACCACCA